GUACCCGCUGAACUUAAGCAUAUCAAUAAGCGGAGGAAAAGAAACUAACAAGGAUUCCCCUAGUAACGGCGAGUGAAGCGGGAACAGCUCAAAUUUGAAAUCUCACAAGGUCACUUGUGCGAAUUGUAGUUUAGAGAAACGUUUUCGGGGGCGACGUGGGUAUAAGUCCUUUGGAAAGAGGCAUCAUAGAGGGUGAGAAUCCCGUUUAUGAUCCACUGUUCGCUCCUACGUGAUACGUUUUCCAAGAGUCAUGUAGUUUGGGAUUGCUGCAUAAAAUGGGUGGUAAAUACCAUCUAAAGCUAAAUAUUGGCGGGAGACCGAUAGCGAACAAGUACCGUGAGGGAAAGAUGAAAAGAACUUUGAAAAGAGAGUUAAACAGUACGUGAAAUUGCCAAAAGGGAAACGCUUGGAACCAGUAUUGCUUUCAAGUAAUCAACUUCACGUCCCGCAAGGGUCGCGUGGGGUGCACUUGCUUGCAAGCGAGCCAACAUCAGUUUGGCUUGGGGUAAAAAGCCAGAGGAAGGUAGCUUGAACUUCGAUUUGAGUGUUAUAGCCUCCGGUCAUGCCUUGGGCCAGACUGAGGUCUGCAGCGUUAUUUGGAUUCCCGGUUGCCUCUUGAGACCAACCCUAGACAGCACGCUGACUAGGGUGACGUUUAGAGAGCUCAGCCGGUUCAUCACACCUACGCUUAGGAUGUUGGCGAAAUGGUUCCAAACGACCCGUCUUGAAACACGGACCAAGGAGUCUAACAUAUAUGCGAGUAUUUGGGUGGCAAACCCUCAUGCGCAAUGAAAGUGAACUUAGGUGGGAUCUUCGGUGCACCAUCGACCGGUCUGGAUUUUUUUUGAUAGAUCUGAGUAAGAGCAUACAUGUUGGGACCCGAAAGAUGGUGAACUAUGCCUGAAUAGGGUGAAGCCAGAGGAAACUCUGGUGGAGGCUCGUAGCGAUUCUGACGUGCAAAUCGAUCGUCAAAUUUGGGUAUAGGGGCGAAAGACUAAUCGAACCAUCUAGUAGCUGGUUCCCUCCGAAGUUUCCCUCAGGAU
RNAcentral lists this ribosomal RNA (1043 nucleotides) under Fimicolochytrium jonesii. RNAcentral's name for it is "eukaryotic LSU rRNA". It matches the Rfam family "Eukaryotic large subunit ribosomal RNA", at positions 22 to 979 of the family's 3401-position model. Lineage: Eukaryota; Fungi; Chytridiomycota; Chytridiomycetes; Spizellomycetales; Powellomycetaceae. The record is from RNAcentral.